This 242-nucleotide ribosomal RNA is filed under the name uncultured Actinomycetales bacterium. RNAcentral's name for it is "partial 16S ribosomal RNA". It matches the Rfam family "Bacterial small subunit ribosomal RNA", at positions 88 to 334 of the family's 1533-position model. Lineage: Bacteria; Bacillati; Actinomycetota; Actinomycetes; Actinomycetales. The record is from RNAcentral.
UACUCGAGUGGCGAACGGGUGAGUAACACGUGGGUGAUCUGCCCUGCACUUCGGGAUAAGCUUGGGAAACUGGGUCUAAUACCGGAUAGGAGCCAUCUUUAGUGUGGUGGUUGGAAAGUUUUUCGGUGUAGGAUGAGCUCGCGGCCUAUCAGCUUGUUGGCGGGGUAAUGGCCUACCAAGGCGGCGACGGGUAGCCGGCCUGAGAGGGUGUACGGCCACAUUGGGACUGAGAUACGGCCCAG